RNAcentral lists this ribosomal RNA (535 nucleotides) under uncultured bacterium. RNAcentral describes it as "bacterial SSU rRNA". It matches the Rfam family "Bacterial small subunit ribosomal RNA", at positions 772 to 1304 of the family's 1533-position model. The record is from RNAcentral.
ACGUAAUAGAUACCCAGGUAGUCCACGCCCUAAACGAUGUCUACUAGUUGUUGGUGGAGUAAAAUCCAUGAGUAAACGCAGCUAAACGCGUGAAGUAGACCGCCUGGGGAGUACGGUCGCAAGAUUAAAACUCAGAGGAAUUGACGGGGGCCCGCACAAGCGGUGGAUUAUGUGGAUUAAUUCGAUGCAACGCGAAAAACCUUACCUGGCCUUGACAUGCCACUAACGAAGCAGAGAUGCAUUAGGUGCCCGUAAGGGAAAGUGGACACAGGUGCUGCAUGGCUGUCGUCAGCUCGUGUCGUGAGAUGUUGGGUUAAGUCCCGCAACGAGCGCAACCCUUGCCAUUAAUUGCCAUCAUUUAGUUGGGCACUUUAAUGGGACUGCCGGUGACAAACCGGAGGAAGUGGGGAUGACGUCAAGUCCUCAUGGCCCUUAUGGCCAGGGCUUCACACGUAAUACAAUGGUCGGUACAGAGAGUUGCCAACCCGCGAGGGGUAGCUAAUCUCAGAAAGCCGAUCGUAGUCCGGAUUGUUCU